CAUGUCUUCCCAGCCUACCUUACCCAGAUGGCUUUCCCUUCUUCUGAAUGCCUUCUGUGUUUGCUGCCAGACUGCCUGAUGAAAUGUUCUACCGGUGCUGAUUCAUCUCCCUUCCAGUCCAUCCGGUCACAUGACACAUGCCUGUGUUGUUCAGAGUCUGGUUGUUAUGAUACAUGUCUGCGGGUCAUGGAUGAGACGCCUGGCUAAAGCUCUAAAGAAGAUGUGUCCCUGUGUGGGUCUGUGUUCUACCCUGCUGCAGGGCAUGGUGGCUUGGGAGGCAAAAGGAGGCCUACGUGACUGCAGGUCACCUUUUCUUAUGUGGGAAGUAUGAUACGUGUUCCAGGCCAGGAAUUUGGCAGGGAGCAGGGAGGUGCCUACCAUCUCAGGCUGUAUAAAGAGGCAGAUUCCUGGAUAAAGUCGAAUUAUGCAUGACGAUCUAUACCAGGACCCAAAUCUCAGGUAAUUGGUUUCUGCACACAGACGGGCACCAACUGUCGAAUAAGACCUCGGAGCUCCUGCUUCCUGACCUGCUUGAGUUCCAGUCCUGACUUCCUUUGGUGAUGAACAGCAAUGUGGAAGUGUAAGCUGAAUAAACCCUUUCCUCCCC
This is a non-coding RNA of Rattus norvegicus (Norway rat), 607 nucleotides long. The record is from RefSeq and is a predicted model, not a curated record. NCBI's taxonomy places the organism in Eukaryota, Metazoa, Chordata, Mammalia, Rodentia, Muridae.